CUGAAGGAUACCCUGAGCAGCAGCCUGGGGAGGAUGCUUGUGAGAGCAGAACGGGUUUUGCCUACCCAUUGAGGAGAAUGGAAAGAUGAUGGUAUGUGCAAGCCAUAAAUGAGGACUCAUCACCGCGUUUCCCAAAGGCUUGCUUGACCUCCAGCCUGGAUGGAGACAUCCAUGGGGUGGGAGAUUGGACCACGCAGCCAGGACCAUCCCAGGUGUGGGCAUUGGGUCUUCAGCCAAAUGCGUCGAAUGGAGCCAAGCAUGGUGAGGGACCAGGGAAAGGACAACAUCGUGCAUCGAGGCUCAGCUCUACCGCUGUAAUGAAAGAUUAAAGUAAUGAACUAAGAGAGAUUCAGUAUUUGGCAGAGCCUAUGGAGAAGUGAUAUUUGACUGGCCCCCAGCUCACAGGCACACCCAAAUAAAUAGCAUUGUUUAUAAGGACUGAAAAUUAAAAAUUAAGGGCUGCGAUUUUCAAAGCUCCCCAAGGAGCCCUCACAUUGAGCUCCCAUAAAAAAUGAACAGCAUGAAAUCCCAUCCUUACCUUUCUCUGGGGAGAUAAAAAAAAAAAAAAAGAGCUAUUUAUUGUGCAAUCAAUUGCAGAAAAUCAUAUACUAAAGAAAUCCCAGGUAAUUUCACUGCUAUGGAGAGUUUAAUGUAGCAAUAAAUCUGGUAAAUAUAGUGCCUACCAUUUGAGUAGGAGAAAAGACCGUAAAAUUCAGCAAAUUAGCCAACACGUUGCAAAGUAAUUUUGCUUCUUAUUAUCUGUUGGGAGUUGCAGGCCAACAAGUUGAAUUCUUUUACUCUUGUUUGAAUUUUAAGUCAUUUUCGCCUUUAGGUGAAAAACAAAAGCCUCCCAACCUUCGGGGCUUUACAGAGGUGUAAAUCAGAGAUCAAACCAGUGGUACCAUCAGAAUCCAUUACAGAUAAGAGUUCCCAAGAAAAGGGUUGGUUUGGCAGAGCUGUGGGUCACAACACCAGGCAUGUCAACAGCACGCUUAUCCCGAAUCAGUGAUCUUGCCACGGUACAAGGAAUUAGAAGAGGAAAUCUCUUUAGGCUGCUUCUCUGGUUUGAAACUACUUCUAUGAUUUUAUUUAUUUCUGAUCAUCCCUGGUCCAAAAUGAUGGACUUCAGGCUCUGAAGGCUUAUUCUCAUGGAGAGUCAAGGAGAAGGGCAAAAAUGUAGCAUAGGAUUCCACCAACAGGCCAGACACAUUUUCCUUGGGGCUGAAGAGUAUAGGCCACCCUUACUCCUCUCAGAGAGCAGUUUGCAGAGCUCAUUAUAUAUGUGAUACAGAGCAUUUUUCUCACCAAUUGCUUCUCUAAGCUUUCCUUGGAUCAUCAGGACAUGGUCCCGCUGCCUCUUCUCCAUUGAAGGCAGUAGGUGGUCCCCAGCUCUUCCUGGCAGAUAAGUAAGGAUUUUACCUAAGGAACAGCUCUUGCAGAACCCAACAAGUGAGAAUUGCCCCUGGUAGACAGCCACAGGAUCUCCCACCCUCAUCAUCUUCACAGUGCUCAAGGGAGAGAUACUGACCUUCCAACCAAUACAGUGCCCAGGAGGUCACUGAGGUCAAAAGCCAAUAGAAUUACUCACCAACCUCACCAUAAAACCAAACCCUAGAUCUUCCCACAAGCCACAUCCCCCUGUGCCAUGUGUGUACUCCAUGUGCUGAGCAGGACUGCUUUGCAGAGCUGGAAAACAUCAGGCAACCUCCAGUGUAACAUCAGUGAUGAGUGGGAGGAGAGUAACACACGGCCUACUCACAUCCCACACCACAACCAUUGGCUCCACCAUCAACACAAGGCUUCAUCAACACAAGGCUUCAUCAACACAAGGCUCCACCAUCAGCAGUGUUUUAUUCACUCAUUGCUUUCCUGUGGGCAAGCACUUUGCACAGUCAAGGUCUGGAGGGGCUGAGACCCCAAAGGCUCUUGCAGGCCCCGCUCAUUGGGCCACCAUGUGUACCUCUGAGGCCCACGCUCGUGGCUGGUGGCCAUGUCCUGUUACACAUGGCUGUGUCCCCCUCUAGUGGCGUGUCCCAGCCAGCACAUGGAGCCGGACACACUCACUCUUGGCGUGGUCACCACAAAUUCAGGACCUCGGCCAUCCCAUGAGAGGACAGACCCGCUCUUGAUUUCGAAAUGGUGGUGACCAUAAGAGCUCUGAGAUGAUGUGGUUAUCUGGGAAUGCACUGAACACGCAGGGAUUGAGGUCUGUUCUUAGAGAUGUAUCUCACCAAAGUAUUUUUCAAUGUGUAACAAAAAUUGAACGUACACAGAGAACAAUGUGGUCCUUUCCAUUAUGUGAUGCCCCACCAGUGGUGAAAGAAGAAGUGUAAUCAGAGCUCGAUCAGAUAAUAGCAGUUACAAUUGGCUACCUAAUUGGAAACGCAUAUAACGUAAUUAAUAGGAGCACCUCAAGUCAGGGGUUGGGCUCAGUGAUCUUUGUGGGUCCCUUCCAAAUUGGGAUGUUCUAUGACCUAUGACUCUAAGACAAAACUCAGUGAGCCGCAGACAUCUCCCUAGAUCUACAUUCAGCAAGUACUGAGUAGCAUGAAAGAGUGCUUGUUUGGAUUUAACUGCAGGUGUGAAUCAGGGCUGAGAGAUGUGUGGGACAGCAGUAGGAGAUAAAUUGUUUUCUCCAACACUUUAUUAUAAACUGAGGUCCCCAGACUGGAUGUCCCUGUAAACACAGCAUCAGCGUCCAACCUCUCCUGCACCUCUGGAGAGGCAGUGUUUGGAAAUCAGAGCUCUGCUUAUAUUGCAGUUUUCUUGAAAAUUAGAAUUUUCCCCAAGCAACAGAAAACAGAAAUAUGAAAAAAGAUAUAUAUAUAAAGAAAUUACCCAAAAAAUGUACUUUGAGGGGGAAAAAGUAGAAAUGAGAACUUUUAACUCUUCU
This 2893-nucleotide long non-coding RNA is filed under the name Gallus gallus (chicken). The record is from RNAcentral. Lineage: Eukaryota; Metazoa; Chordata; Aves; Galliformes; Phasianidae.